This 307-nucleotide unclassified non-coding RNA is filed under the name Hevea brasiliensis (rubber tree). The record is from RNAcentral. Lineage: Eukaryota; Viridiplantae; Streptophyta; Magnoliopsida; Malpighiales; Euphorbiaceae.
GGAUGAGUGAAGGCCCUGGGCUUGACAGAGCGGAGGAAGAGGUUGUUGAGAGGAAGAUUAUGGUGACUAUGUUGAUUGUGAGAGUGAAGAUCGGCGAGAUUCCGUUUUCCGAGGAGAGAAGAGGGGAUUUGGCGAGCGAUCUGAGCAGCGGCGGGAUCUAUGAAAGAACCACCGGAGAGCUGGGAUCUGUAAGCAUUUGGCUGAGAAGGGUUGGAAGACAUGGAUCUGCCGGCGGUAUAGAAAUCCGGAGCUCCACCGCCGGUGAAACCUGAUUGCAUCGUUACAAAACCGAUUCCUUCCCUCUCUG